CUUCCUGAACCUGGGCAGUUUAUAAGAAGUCAAACAAAAACAAUUUUUUGGCAACUUUAGGAUUUUAGUUAUCCUACAGUCUUGCCUAAGAGAUAACUGGCAGGAUCAUAUAGGUAUGAUAUCUAAACAUAUAAAAUAAUCACAGCAGUCCUAUAAGCGUGAUCUCUAACGCAUAUAAAAUGACCACAACAGUCCUAUAGGCGUGAUCUCUAACGCAUAUAAAAUGACUACAACAGUCUUAUAGGCAUUAUCUCUACCCGUUCCCAACAAAGAUAUAUGAGAUCCUUCCCAGCUUUCACUAAUAAACCCAAUAUCUAUUUUUACAAGAAUUAUUAUAACAUACCAAUAUAAAUGAAUUACAUAAUGAAAAUCACUAUACUAUAGAGAGCCUUUAUAGGCCCAACAUAAACUUGGAACCAAGCCUCCAAACACAGCACCUCUGAGCGUAGUGGUAGUCCCAUACAUAACACAUAAAGAUGGUUCCUGGUGUGUCAAAGUACUCAAGGGCCUUAGGGACUCCGGGCAGUGCUCACACCAGAAUCAGAUGUCCAAGACACAGUUCAUAAAGGAUUGAAAACCAAUCUCAAUGUGUCAGAUUCAGAGGAGUUUCCUGGACCCUAAGGAGUGCUCACAUUGGGGGGGGGGGGGGGNNNN
This 654-nucleotide long non-coding RNA is filed under the name Nicotiana benthamiana. RNAcentral describes it as "long non-coding RNA (NBEN_LNC016258)". Lineage: Eukaryota; Viridiplantae; Streptophyta; Magnoliopsida; Solanales; Solanaceae. The record is from RNAcentral.